This 68-nucleotide small nucleolar RNA is filed under the name Choloepus hoffmanni (Hoffmann's two-fingered sloth). RNAcentral describes it as "Small nucleolar RNA SNORD112 (ENSCHOG00000016142.1)". Lineage: Eukaryota; Metazoa; Chordata; Mammalia; Pilosa; Megalonychidae. The record is from RNAcentral.
UGUGCCUAUAAUGAGGGUGUGUCAUGAAUCAAAGAUUAUGUUUAGUCCAAUUCUGUUUACUUGACAUU